This 759-nucleotide ribosomal RNA is filed under the name uncultured bacterium. RNAcentral describes it as "bacterial SSU rRNA". It matches the Rfam family "Bacterial small subunit ribosomal RNA", at positions 28 to 776 of the family's 1533-position model. The record is from RNAcentral.
AUUGAACGCUGGCGGCAGGCCUAACACAUGCAAGUCGAACGGUAACAGGAAGAAGCUUGCUUCUUUGCUGACGAGUGGCGGACGGGUGAGUAAUGUCUGGGAAACUGCCUGAUGGAGGGGGAUAACUACUGGAAACGGUAGCUAAUACCGCAUAACGUCGCAAGACCAAAGAGGGGGACCUUCGGGCCUCUUGCCAUCGGAUGUGCCCAGAUGGGAUUAGCUUGUUGGUGGGGUAACGGCUCACCAAGGCGACGAUCCCUAGCUGGUCUGAGAGGAUGACCAGCCACACUGGAACUGAGACACGGUCCAGACUCCUACGGGAGGCAGCAGUGGGGAAUAUUGCACAAUGGGCGCAAGCCUGAUGCAGCCAUGCCGCGUGUAUGAAGAAGGCCUUCGGGUUGUAAAGUACUUUCAGCGGGGAGGAAGGGAGUAAAGUUAAUACCUUUGCUCAUUGACGUUACCCGCAGAAGAAGCACCGGCUAACUCCGUGCCAGCAGCCGCGGUAAUACGGAGGGUGCAAGCGUUAAUCGGAAUUACUGGGCGUAAAGCGCACGCAGGCGGUUUGUUAAGUCAGAUGUGAAAUCCCCGGGCUCAACCUGGGAACUGCAUCUGAUACUGGCAAGCUUGAGUCUCGUAGAGGGGGGUAGAAUUCCAGGUGUAGCGGUGAAAUGCGUAGAGAUCUGGAGGAAUACCGGUGGCGAAGGCGGCCCCCUGGACGAAGACUGACGCUCAGGUGCGAAAGCGUGGGGAGCANACAGG